Non-coding RNA from Acanthosepion pharaonis, 113 nucleotides. NCBI's taxonomy places the organism in Eukaryota, Metazoa, Mollusca, Cephalopoda, Sepiida, Sepiidae. The record is from the annotation of a GenBank genome assembly.
UUAUGGCCAUAUCAUGUUAAAACACCAGUUCUCAUACACUCACAGAAGUUAAGCAACAUUAAACCUGGUCAGUAUCUAUAUGGGUGACAUUUUGGGAAUACCAGGUGCUGUCA